Molecule: unclassified non-coding RNA, 339 nt
Filed under: soil metagenome
Description: partial contains 5.8S ribosomal RNA, internal transcribed spacer 2, and large subunit ribosomal RNA
Rfam family: 5.8S ribosomal RNA (bases 1-120)
Source: RNAcentral
GAUGAAGAACGUAGCGAAAUGCGAUAAGUAAUGUGAAUUGCAGAAUUCCGUGAAUCAUCGAAUCUUUGAACGCACAUUGCGCCCCCUGGUAUUCCGGGGGGCAUGCCUGUCCGAGCGUCAUUGCAACCCUCAAGCGCGGCUUGUGUGUUGGGCUUCGUCCCCCCGUGGACGUGCCCGAAAGGCAGAGGCGGCGUCCCGAAUGGUGCCCGAGCGUAUGGGAACUCUCUUCCGCUCGAACCGGCCCAUUCGGCGCUGGUCGAACCCCAAUUUUUUUUUACCGGUUGACCUCGGAUCAGGUAGGGAUACCCGCUGAACUUAAGCAUAUCAAUAAGCGGAGGA